RNAcentral lists this ribosomal RNA (657 nucleotides) under uncultured soil bacterium. Its description in RNAcentral is "bacterial SSU rRNA". It matches the Rfam family "Bacterial small subunit ribosomal RNA", at positions 62 to 716 of the family's 1533-position model. The record is from RNAcentral.
CGAGGCUUGCCAUCGGGGCAAAGCCGCGAACGGGUGAGUAACACGUGGGUAACCUGCCCUGUUGAUUGGGACAACCCCGGGAAACCGGGGCUAAUACCAAAUGUGCUGCAUCGGCAUCAGUUGAUGUAGGAAAGGAGGCUUCGGCUUCCGCAACGGGAUGGGCCCGCGGCCCAUUAGCUUGUUGGUGGGGUAAUGGCCUACCAAGGCUUCGAUGGGUAGCUGGUCUGAGAGGACGAUCAGCCACACUGGGACUGAGACACGGCCCAGACUCCUACGGGAGGCAGCAGUGGGGAAUCUUGCGCAAUGCGCGAAAGCGUGACGCAGCAACGCCGCGUGAGGGAAGACGGCCUUCGGGUUGUAAACCUCUUUCAGUUGGGACGAAGCCACGACGGUUAAUACCCGUUUGUGGUGACGGUACCUUCAGAAGAAGCCCCGGCUAACUACGUGCCAGCAGCCGCGGUAAUACGUAGGGGGCAAGCGUUGUCCGGAAUCAUUGGGCGUAAAGCGCGUGUAGGCGGCUUGGUAAGUCCGCUCUGAAAGCCCGGGGCUCAACCNCGGGAGGCGGGUGGAAUACUGUCAAGCUCGANUCCGGAAGAGGCGAGUGGAAUUCCUGGUGUACCGGUGAAAUGCGCAGAUAUCAGGAGGNACACCAAUGGG